RNAcentral lists this ribosomal RNA (328 nucleotides) under uncultured Bacillota bacterium. RNAcentral describes it as "bacterial SSU rRNA". It matches the Rfam family "Bacterial small subunit ribosomal RNA", at positions 28 to 351 of the family's 1533-position model. Lineage: Bacteria; Bacillati; Bacillota. The record is from RNAcentral.
GAUGAACGCUGGCGGCGUGCUUAACACAUGCAAGUCGAACGGACUUAUCUGAAGCUUGCUUUGGAUAAGUUAGUGGCGGACGGGUGAGUAACGCGUGGGUAACCUGCCUUGUACUGGGGGACAACAGUUGGAAACGACUGCUAAUACCGCAUAAGCCCACGGCCUCGCAUGAGGCUGUGGGAAAAACUCCGGUGGUACAAGAUGGACCCGCGUCUGAUUAGCUAGUUGGUGAGGUAACGGCCCACCAAGGCGACGAUCAGUAGCCGGCCUGAGAGGGUGAACGGCCACAUUGGGACUGAGACACGGCCCAAACACCUACGGGUGGCAG